This 253-nucleotide ribosomal RNA is filed under the name uncultured bacterium. RNAcentral describes it as "partial 16S ribosomal RNA". It matches the Rfam family "Bacterial small subunit ribosomal RNA", at positions 524 to 776 of the family's 1533-position model. The record is from RNAcentral.
UACGUAGGGUGCGAGCGUUAAUCGGAAUUACUGGGCGUAAAGCGUGCGCAGGCGGUUUUGUAAGCCAGAUGUGAAAGCCCCGGGCUCAACCUGGGAAUGGCAUUUGGGACUGCAAGGCUGGAGUUUGGCAGAGGAGACUGGAAUUCCUGGUGUAGCAGUGAAAUGCGUAGAUAUCGGGAAGAACACCCGUGGCGAAGGCGGUUCUCUGGGACGGUACUGACGCUGAGACGCGAAAGCGUGGGGAGCGAACAGG